AAUAUUGGACAAUGGGGGCAACACUGAUCCAGCCACGCCGCGUGUGUGAAGAAGGUCUUCGGAGUGUAAAGCACUUUAAGUUGGGGGGAAGGGCUAUGUGCUAAUACCCUUCAGUUUAGACGUCACCAACAGCAUAAUCACCGGCUAACUCUGUCCCAGCAGCCGCGGUAAUACAGAGGGUGCAAGCGUUUAUCGGAAUUACUGGGUGUAAAGCGCACGUAGGUGGUUCAGUAAAAUGGGUGUGAAAUCCCCGGGCUUAACCUGGGAACUGCUUUCGUAACUGCUGAGCUAGAGUACGGUAGAGGGUAGUGGAAUUUCCUGUGUAGCGGUGAAAUGCGUAGAUAUAGGAAGGAACACCAGUGGCGAAGGCGACUACCUGGACUGAUACUGACACUGAGGUGCGAAAGCGUGGGGAGCAAAC
Molecule: ribosomal RNA, 421 nt
Filed under: uncultured bacterium
Lineage: Bacteria
Description: partial 16S ribosomal RNA
Rfam family: Bacterial small subunit ribosomal RNA
Source: RNAcentral